This is a long non-coding RNA of Notothenia coriiceps (black rockcod), 279 nucleotides long. RefSeq lists it as uncharacterized. The record is from RefSeq and is a predicted model, not a curated record. The transcript is spliced from 3 exons. Lineage: Eukaryota; Metazoa; Chordata; Actinopteri; Perciformes; Nototheniidae.
UGGCAAAGGGAGAGGGACUUAAGUGAGAGUGAAAACACAAGUAACCUACUGUAUGGCAGGUGGAGGGGCAGUGAUGUUACAGGUGGAGGAGCAAGACUGCAAACUCACAAGACAGAGAAAUCAAAGUUUGUUCUCCAGAGAAGAGCACAAUAACCAGAGGGGGAUUCAAUGGAGCCUGAAUACCUGCACUGAGACCCUCACCCUGCACCCUGAGUCUCAACUCUCAGUGUUUUUCAAGCCUUUCCCUGUUUUUUUGUAUUAAACAAAACAUUAAGCUUU